UUCUCUCAACAGAUCACAGUCAUGGCGUGCAGAUUGAAGUCCAUGAGCAAGUGCAUUCUUAGCCUUGAUGUUGACAAAUUAAUUUAUGAAAAUAGAGAAGUGUGUGAGACUUACGUAGAUCAUCCAGGCUGCAUAACGCUCUUUGAGGUUAUACAAGACAGAUGGUUCGUUCAAGUGGGUCAUCAUCGCCAUGUCUUCAAUUUUAUCGUACUUGGGUGGGUUCAUGGGGAAAACUUCAUCUUCCUUCACUGUUACAGUCUGGAAUUAACAGGGAUGUAUGAUAAGACGUCAGUAAAUGCAUUAUCUUUUUAAGAGAUCUAUUCACUCCAAAUGUAAACUUACAGUAUUGUCUUCUUUCUUUACUGUUACUUUGCCUCCCUCUCUGCCUGUGAUAACUCCUUUCACAUACAUUGUUUUGGGGUCAAUCACAAAGGUUGAAGUUUUGGCAUCAAAGGGGCGAUUUUGGGCCUCAAUUCUUUCUUUCUCUGACUUUCGGAGGAAUUGAGCUG
This is a long non-coding RNA of Pseudophryne corroboree (corroboree frog), 509 nucleotides long. RefSeq lists it as uncharacterized. The record is from RefSeq and is a predicted model, not a curated record. The transcript is spliced from 2 exons. Lineage: Eukaryota; Metazoa; Chordata; Amphibia; Anura; Myobatrachidae.